RNAcentral lists this long non-coding RNA (1606 nucleotides) under Canis lupus familiaris (dog). Its description in RNAcentral is "lncRNA (ENSCAFG00845015289.1)". The record is from RNAcentral. Lineage: Eukaryota; Metazoa; Chordata; Mammalia; Carnivora; Canidae.
CGCAGAGCGCGGGCUCCACACGGCAGGCCUGGUGGCCUAGACCGGCAAGCUGCACAGAGACAGCGGCCUGCGGCCUGCUCUCUGCUCCCACGGGUCCGCCUAUGCACAUUACCCUUGUUCCAUUACUUUUUCAUGCCAUUUUUUUUAUCCCAAAAAAUAUUUUUUAAAAGUUAAAAAAAAAAGACAUAUCAAACAUGCAAAUACUUGAAUCCAGCAGGCCAAUAAGGAAAUGUGAACACUUGCCGCGUCGAAUUCUACACUUCCAGGCUGACAUCAGUGCACAGAAACAGGCUCUAGGAAACAUUUCUGAGUUCACAGCCUAUGUGCGUGUGUGUGUGUGUGUAUGUGUGGAAACAGAAGCGUGUAUGCGUGUGUGCACGUGCGCGUGUGUGUGCACUUUCUGUGUUUGUGUGUUCUGUGUGUGAGGGAUUUAACUGUGGGUUUUCCCUUUUAUUCAGUAUAUGCUUUUUUUUUGGCGCAUUGGUCAAACGUUUGUUACUAUUAUUAGCUUCUAACUUUGCACUGAGUGUCCCUGCCCUUCCUUUUGCUAAUCCUAUACAUGAAAGAGAAUUCAUAGGACAGGGCCGGUGACAAUUCAUGUGUAAAUGUUUACUCAAGGACUCUGUUAUUGCGUUUAAAAAUUACAGUGUAUAUCUCUGGAGAAAUAAUAUGUAUACCUACCUUUAGCAGCUUUUUAUUGUGGACUAAUGCAAGAAACUGAUUACCAGAGUAUUGCACCGUGUUUCCAUGUGGAAUAGAAAGUGAGAGAGAAGACAGCUGUUGCAGAAGUGUGGCCAUAGAUCCUCGCGGAGAGCCGAUGGCUCCGCGGGGGAAACGGAGACAAGCACUUGGACGUGGGUGGUGACCGCUUUUGGAGGGGCCCGUGCUCAGGGCUCCCACCUGUUUACAGACCUUUUUUUCUCCUUCAGACUUUAAAAUAAAAAAAUUUUAAAAAGGAAUUUAAAAAAAAAAAAAAGAAAAAAGAGACUUCCGUGGUAAAGAAACCUAUUUUCAGAAUGCAGAUACGCUACUUCAGAGCUCUGGGAUUGAACAGUAUCGUCGCUUCCCUCCGGCCAUCGUUGUGGACUGUCGAUUGUUCCCCGUCGUUGAGGCGACGAGACGUUGUGGUCACUGUCUUGCACAUGCGGAUGCGCUCUCAGGAAAGCCAGGGUUCCCGAGGGGCAGCUCCACACCAUUUCAUGUAUUUUGUAACCCAACUCCUAGCACUGAAGAUGUUAUUAAAAAACAAACAAAAAAAAAAAAUAAAGAAAAAAAAGAAAAAGAAAAAAAACACAAAGAAGGAAAAUACCUAAUCUCUAAUGUGUAGCAGUUACAUAUUUACCAAAUAACGGACUCAAAAGAAAUAGAUGUUUGAAGAGUGCUUUAUAUAUUAAAAAUUGCUUUAUGUUUUAAAAAUGAUCAAUGUUUUGAUUGUUUUGCAAGAAAGACAGACAAUGGAGUAACAUACCCUCAAGUAUGUUUAAAAAUAUAUGAACAUUGUGCUCCCUGCCUGCUUGAUCAGGAAACUUGUGCAUUACAUUUUUUUUAAUUAGCUUUUUAAUGGUUUUAUCAAAACAAAACAAAAAAAAGAACAAAAAACAAAAAA